UGCAUGUGCGGAGUGGGUAGUGCACAUGCCGGUAAUGAUGCUGUGGUGAUAAUUACAACCGUGCAUGUGCGGAGUGGGUAGUGCACAUGCUGGUAAUGAUGCUGUCGUGAUAAUUACAACCGUGCAUGUGCUGAGUGGGAAGUGCACAUGUCAGUAAUGAUGCUGUCGUGAUAAUUACAACCGUGCAUGUGCGGAGUGGGCAGUGCACAUGCCAGUAAUGAUGCUGUAGUGAUAGUUACAACCGUGCAUGUGCAGAGUAGGCAGUGCACAUGCCGGUAAUGAUGAUGUCGUGAUAAUUACAACUGUGCAUGUGCGGAGUGGGCAGUGCACAUGCCGGUAAUGAUGCUGUCGUGAUAAUUACAUCCGUGCAUGUGCGGAGUGGGCAGUGCACAUGCCGGUGAUGAUGUACAUGAGCUGGAUGAGGUAUGGUGGUAUAAUAAUUGAUAUAUGCUUAAGCAUAUGUAUAUGCAAUAGAAAGAUUAUGCUUAUAAUAUGUGAUUAAAUGGCAUGAUAAAUCUUGAAAAUUUCCCAUUUACAUGUUAAUUGAUUUUAUUGCAACAAGAACAUUCUAUUUAUACUACCUUGCUUGGAUUAUUGCUGGAAAUUUCCUCUCUUUCCGAUUUCCUGCUAAAUAUGGUUCCUUCAUUAUGAAAUGAUUUAAUAACCCGGGGUUGAUGGAAGGAUUUUAAUAAGAACUUGAACUAGGUUGCACUAUUUUCAAACUUAAGUGCAUCAUGAUUUCUAAAUCAUUCCUUGUAAUUGCUUGUUUUCUUCCUAUGUUCACUGACUGAGUUUAUACUCACGUUUUUAAAAUUCAUGUUUUAGGUUUCCUGAGUUAAAGGUGAUUGGAUCCUAGGACGAGGUGCUCCUCCCUAUCCAUUGCUCGAUAGGUUUAACGUGGCACUAAAUGUUAGCAACCGUGCCCAGAGUCACUUAGCUGACGGUCAAGGUUUAAUCAUGCGUAUAUGAAUACUUGGUGUGAAAUACUAAGAAUCAUUUGUUAAUCUAUAUAUGAAUAUAAUGGUUGGUGAUACCAUUAUGAAUGCAUGAUUGGGUUUUAUGAAUUGUUUUCAAAAGAACGGUAUUUGAACAUUACAAAUUUUGGAUUCUAAAGGAAUAAGGAUUUAUGUAUAAGAUCAAUAGAGUAGGCUUGUUUGGGCUUAGUGGGCUAAGCCCAUUGGGUCCUUACGCUGGUCAUGGUCCGGGAAUUUAGGCUAUGACAAGUUUCCAUUGAGUUUUUAGUAUAUGAAACCAACAAAUCUUGUGGUAUCUGUAUCUAGCAUGGCUCCUCCUUAAGAUCAUAGCUAGAAGCACUAAAUUUUCCUUCUUUUAUAUCUAGUAACUACAAAG
This 1350-nucleotide long non-coding RNA is filed under the name Theobroma cacao (cacao). RNAcentral's name for it is "long non-coding RNA (TCAC_LNC001868)". The record is from RNAcentral. Lineage: Eukaryota; Viridiplantae; Streptophyta; Magnoliopsida; Malvales; Malvaceae.